UACAGAGGGUGCAAGCGUUGUUCGGAAUUAUUGGGCGUAAAGGGAGUGUAGGCGGUUUGAUAAGUCUUCUGUGAAAUCUACGGGCUUAGCCUGUAACGUGCAGAGGAAACUGUCAGGCUUGAGUGUCGGAGAGGAUAGGGGAAUUCCCGGUGUAGAGGUGAAAUGCGCAGAUAUCAGGAAGAACACCUAUGGCGAAGGCAGCUCUCUGGGACGGUACUGACGCUGAGACGCGAAAGCGUGGGGAGCGAACAGG
Molecule: ribosomal RNA, 253 nt
Filed under: uncultured bacterium
Lineage: Bacteria
Description: partial 16S ribosomal RNA
Rfam family: Bacterial small subunit ribosomal RNA
Source: RNAcentral